AUGAAUCGCCGUUUCGUCAAUCUGCUGGUCAAUAGGUUGUGCGCCCCUCGACCCGCUUACAGGCUGCACUGCAUCGACCCCGCAACCUUGUUUUACCCUACCGGAUCGCCACAGCCAGCAGAUCCAGCUGCCAUAAACGACAGCGCUCCAGCUCCUGGGAGGUUGCCUGCGCCCACCAUAUCCUUCGACUGGCCCUGCAAGCCGCACCAAUCCGGCUGGAUGGAUUUCAUGGCCUUCAAGAACAACAUCAUUGCCGUCGACCACGAGGGCCGCACGCUCCUCUACGACACCGCCUCCAGGGCAGUCCGGGCCAUGCCUCAGACGAAGAAGCCUAAUUCGAGGACAAUAUCCUUCACCGUUGGCGAUGGCCUCUAUGUGAUGGCUAGAGAGAAUGGCUCCCCGCCCCAUUCGCACUAUUUCCAGGCUCUUAUCUACGGCCGCCCGCCUGGCUUCCUCCACCCGGAGGACUGGCACUGGCGCCCUCUACAGCAGCCUGACUUCGAUUUUCCUGACAACGGCGACGUCCCGAGCAACCACAAGCCAGGAGAGGCGGUGAACCCCUAUGGGUUCAGUGCCUUCACGGUGUAUGAUGAUUCGCAGAUCUGGAUGUCCACUGUGGCAGCGGGCAUAUACUCCUACAACACGGUGAGUGGCACCUGGAGCAAGGUACAUGUUUCUGCGCUGCCGUUCAGAGGCCGGGCUGAGUACGUCCCUGAACAUGGCCUCUGGUUUGGCUUUUCACGUGAAGACGAGCAGCUCUGUGCAUCUGACCUCGCUCAGGCACGGCCGGUGCUGCAGAAGGUGUGGGAAGAACCAGCUCCGCCUGAGCGGUGUUCCCUGAUGGCGUCUCACAUCCUGCCGUUGGGCUCCGGCAAGUUGUGUGUGGCGAGGCUGUUCCAGAAAACAGAGCGGGGGACGCUUCACCCUUCAGGCUACACCAAAGCGGAGCACUUCGCAGUACUGUCUGGUGUCGAGGUUUUCAGAGCUGGCAACACAGGUAGCCUCGAGACGAUCAAGCACAAGUCCAAACGUUACAGCUUCGGCAAUGAUGAGGUCAAACUGAUCUGA
Molecule: ribosomal RNA, 1068 nt
Filed under: Triticum aestivum (bread wheat)
Lineage: Eukaryota; Viridiplantae; Streptophyta; Magnoliopsida; Poales; Poaceae
Description: partial small subunit ribosomal RNA
Source: RNAcentral